AGUUUGAUCCUGGCUCAGGAUGAACGCUAGCUACAGGCUUAACACAUGCAAGUCGAGGGGCAGCAUUGGGGUAGCAAUACUUCAGAUGGCGACCGGCGCACGGGUGAGUAACACGUAUCCAACCUGCCGCUUACUCGGGGAUAGCCUUUCGAAAGAAAGAUUAAUACCCGAUGGUAUAAAGAGUUCGCAUGUUCUCUUUAUUAAAGAAUUUCGGUAAGCGAUGGGGAUGCGUUCCAUUAGAUAGUUGGCGGGGUAACGGCCCACCAAGUCUACGAUGGAUAGGGGUUCUGAGAGGAAGGUCCCCCACAUUGGAACUGAGACACGGUCCAAACUCCUACGGGAGGCAGCAGUGAGGAAUAUUGGUCAAUGGACGCGAGUCUGAACCAGCCAAGUAGCGUGAAGGAUGACUGCCCUAUGGGUUGUAAACUUCUUUUAUAAGGGAAUAAAGUGAGGGACGUGUCCCUUUUUGUAUGUACCUUAUGAAUAAGGAUCGGCUAACUCCGUGCCAGCAGCCGCGGUAAUACGGAGGAUCCAAGCGUUAUCCGGAUUUAUUGGGUUUAAAGGGAGCGUAGGUUGACAUAUAAGUCAGCUGUGAAAGUUUACGGCUCAACCGUGAAAUUGCAGUUGAUACUGUAUGUCUUGAGUGUACAAGAGGUGGGCGGAAUUCGUGGUGUAGCGGUGAAAUGCUUAGAUAUCACGAAGAACUCCAAUUGCGAAGGCAGCUCACUGGGGUACAACUGACACUGAGGCUCGAAAGUGUGGGUAUCAAACAGGAUUAGAUACCCUGGUAGUCCACACAGUAAACGAUGAAUACUCGCUGUUUGCGAUAUACAGUAAGCGGCCAAGCGAAAGCAUUAAGUAUUCCACCUGGGGAGUACGCCGGCAACGGUGAAACUCAAAGGAAUUGACGGGGGCCCGCACAAGCGGAGGAACAUGUGGUUUAAUUCGAUGAUACGCGAGGAACCUUACCCGGGCUUGAAUUGCAGAGGAACAUAGUUGAAAGACUAUGGCCGCAAGGUCUCUGUGAAGGUGCUGCAUGGUUGUCGUCAGCUCGUGCCGUGAGGUGUCGGCUUAAGUGCCAUAACGAGCGCAACCCUUAUCAUUAGUUACUAACAGGUCAUGCUGAGGACUCUAGUGAGACUGCCGUCGUAAGAUGUGAGGAAGGUGGA
RNAcentral lists this ribosomal RNA (1169 nucleotides) under uncultured Bacteroides sp. RNAcentral's name for it is "bacterial SSU rRNA". It matches the Rfam family "Bacterial small subunit ribosomal RNA", at positions 10 to 1177 of the family's 1533-position model. Lineage: Bacteria; Pseudomonadati; Bacteroidota; Bacteroidia; Bacteroidales; Bacteroidaceae. The record is from RNAcentral.